Molecule: small RNA, 585 nt
Filed under: Myxocephala albida
Lineage: Eukaryota; Fungi; Ascomycota; Sordariomycetes
Description: eukaryotic LSU rRNA
Rfam family: 5.8S ribosomal RNA (bases 209-362)
Source: RNAcentral
GGAAGUAAAAGUCGUAACAAGGUCUCCGUUGGUGAACCAGCGGAGGGAUCAUUACCGAGUUUACAACUCCCAAACCCAUGUGAACAUACCUGUCUUGUUGCUUCGGCGGCGCCCCCGGCCCUCACCGGCUGGGGCCCGCCAGAGGACCCAAAACAAACUCUUUGCAUUUGAAUACAGUAUUCUGAGUGGCAUGAUUAAAUAAAAUCAAAACUUUCAACAACGGAUCUCUUGGCUCUGGCAUCGAUGAAGAACGCAGCGAAAUGCGAUAAGUAAUGUGAAUUGCAGAAUCCAGUGAAUCAUCGAAUCUUUGAACGCACAUUGCGCCCGCCAGUAUUCUGGCGGGCAUGCCUGUUCGAGCGUCAUUUCAACCCUCAAGCUCUGCUUGGCGUUGGGGAUCGGCAUCCCGGCUUCGCGCCGCGCCGUCCCCCAAAUACAGUGGCGGUCACGCUGCAGCUUCCCUUGCGUAGUAGCACACCUCGCACCGGAGAGCAGCGCGGCCACGCCGUAAAACCCCCGACUUCUUGUUUUUGACCUCGAAUCAGGUAGGACUACCCGCUGAACUUAAGCAUAUCAAUAAGCGGAGGA